AAGGGUAUAGCUCAGGGAUAGAGCACAUGCUUAGCAUGCAUGAGGUCCUGGGUUCAAUCCCCAGUACCUCCA
This is a transfer RNA of Camelus ferus (Wild Bactrian camel), 72 nucleotides long. It matches the Rfam family "tRNA". Rfam says of the family: Transfer RNA (tRNA) molecules are approximately 80 nucleotides in length. Their secondary structure includes four short double-helical elements and three loops (D, anti-codon, and T loops). The record is from Rfam. Lineage: Eukaryota; Metazoa; Chordata; Mammalia; Artiodactyla; Camelidae.